GAUGAACGCUGGCGGCGUGCUUAACACAUGCAAGUCGAACGGAACACCCUUGAAGGAGUUUUCGGACAACUGAAAGGACUGUUUAGUGGCGGACGGGUGAGUAACGCGUGAGUAACCUGCCUUGGAGUGGGGAAUAACAGUUGGAAACAGCUGCUAAUACCGCAUAAUGCAGUUGAGUCGCAUGGCUCUGACUGCCAAAGAUUUAUCGCUCUGAGAUGGACUCGCGUCUGAUUAGCUAGUUGGUGGGGUAACGGCCCACCAAGGCGACGAUCAGUAGCCGGACUGAGAGGUUGGCCGGCCACAUUGGGACUGAGACACGGCCCAG
RNAcentral lists this ribosomal RNA (325 nucleotides) under uncultured bacterium. RNAcentral describes it as "bacterial SSU rRNA". It matches the Rfam family "Bacterial small subunit ribosomal RNA", at positions 28 to 334 of the family's 1533-position model. The record is from RNAcentral.